RNAcentral lists this RNase P RNA (404 nucleotides) under Mycobacterium sp. Its description in RNAcentral is "RNase P RNA component class A". It matches the Rfam family "Bacterial RNase P class A". Rfam says of the family: Ribonuclease P (RNase P) is a ubiquitous endoribonuclease, found in archaea, bacteria and eukarya as well as chloroplasts and mitochondria. RNAcentral also lists the same sequence under 1 other name. The record is from RNAcentral. Lineage: Bacteria; Bacillati; Actinomycetota; Actinomycetes; Mycobacteriales; Mycobacteriaceae.
CGAGUUGGCCGGGCGGCCGCGGCACACGGUGGGCAACCGUCGAUGGGUCGAGGAAAGUCCGGACUUCACAGAGCAGGGUGAUUGCUAACGGCAAUCCGAGGUGACUCGCGGGACAGUGCCACAGAAAACAGACCGCCACCCGCAAGGGUGGUAAGGGUGAAACGGUGCGGUAAGAGCGCACCAGCAUCCCGGGUGACCGGGGUGGCUUGGUAAACCCCACCCGAAGCAAGGCCAAGAGGCUGCAUUCCGGUGCGGCUGCGCAGGCGCUCGAGGGCUGCUCGCCCGAGCCUGUGGGUAGGCCGCUCGAGGCACCCGGUGACGGUGUGCCCAGAUGGAUGGUCGUCGCCGCGCCGCCGUAAUACGGUGACGCGGAACAGAAUCCGGCUUACAGGCCAGCUCGUCCG